UGUUCAGUUGCUCACACAAUUUCUGGCUGGCCAUAGACAUGUCUUUUGAACCACCAGAGUUUGAGAUUGUUGGUUUUACCAACCACAUUAAUGUGAUGGUGAAAUUUCCAUCUAUUGUUGAGGAAGAAUUACAGUUUGAUUUAUCUCUCGUCAUUGAAGAACAGUCAGAGGGAAUUGUUAAGAAGCAUAAACCCGAAAUAAAAGGAAACAUGAGUGGAAAUUUCACCUAUAUCAUUGACAAGUUAAUUCCAAACACGAACUACUGUGUAUCUGUUUAUUUAGAGCACAGUGAUGAGCAAGCAGUAAUAAAGUCUCCCUUAAAAUGCACCCUCCUUCCACCUGGCCAGGAAUCAGUUAUAGGAUAUUCCAAGAUAAAUGCAUGAAUACUACCUUGACGGAAUGUGAUUUCUCAAGUCUUUCCAAGUAUGGUGACCACACCUUGAGAGUCAGGGCUGAAUUUGCAGAUGAGCAUUCAGACUGGGUAAACAUCACCUUCUGUCCUGUGGAUGACACCAUUAUUGGACCCCCUGGAAUGCAAGUAGAAGUACUUGCUGAUUCUUUACAUAUGCGUUUCUUAGCCCCUAAAAUUGAGAAUGAAUACGAAACUUGGACUAUGAAGAAUGUGUAUAACUCAUGGACUUAUAAUGUGCAAUACUGGAAAAACGGUACUGAUGAAAAGUUUCAAAUUACUCCCCAGUAUGACUUUGAGGUCCUCAGAAACCUGGAGCCAUGGACAACUUAUUGUGUUCAAGUUCGAGGGUUUCUUCCUGAUCGGAACAAAGCUGGGGAAUGGAGUGAGCCUGUCUGUGAGCAAACAACCCAUGACGGUAAGCCCUGAGAUGCACCUCCGCUAAGCAUCCUAAACAGCUUUAUAGACACCUGCCCUAGACAUGAUUGCAUCCAACUCAAAUUCCAGCUCAGUUCAGAAAUCUAUCGCCCUGACAUUAUCUCUCAGCCCUGACUGCUCAGCUUCAUGCUAGGAAGGAGACCACACCCGCUUCUGAGGCAGCUCAUUCACUCUUAGAUCAAAGGAGUUGCUAGAAACCUUUUCUGUCUGGUGGAGCGAGGUCUGCCUCCAUGAGCCCCCCUUGGCAGUACUUAUUCUACCAUCCCAGGCUCCCUAAAGCAAGGCUCAUCAGUCCUCCCAAGACCACCAGCAGAGCUCAAGCCCUGUCACAUACCCCAAAGGUCUUUCCUCCCCAGGCGGCACAUCUCCAGCCACUGCCGACAUGUGAUGGGAAGCAAGUGUCAGGAAAUCUGACCACGGUCCUCAGCCAGUGCUGCCUGAUUCAGGGCCCCUUAUAUGCAGGAAUCCAGGAUGUCAACACAGUCCUUCACACACCAUAUGGAUCACUUCUAGCUU
Molecule: long non-coding RNA, 1363 nt
Filed under: Homo sapiens (human)
Lineage: Eukaryota; Metazoa; Chordata; Mammalia; Primates; Hominidae
Description: long non-coding RNA NONHSAT081775.2
Source: RNAcentral